RNAcentral lists this ribosomal RNA (253 nucleotides) under uncultured bacterium. RNAcentral's name for it is "partial 16S ribosomal RNA". It matches the Rfam family "Bacterial small subunit ribosomal RNA", at positions 524 to 776 of the family's 1533-position model. The record is from RNAcentral.
UACGUAGGAGGCGAGCGUUGUCCGGAGUUACUGGGCGUAAAGGGUGCGCAGGCGGUGGCCCGCGUGGGCGGUGAAAGCCCCCGGCUCAACUGGGGAGGGUCACUCGAUACUGAUCGACUCGAAGGCAGGAGAGGGAAGUGGAAUUCCCGGUGUAGUGGUGAAAUGCGUAGAUAUCGGGAGGAACACCAGUGGCGAAGGCGACUUCCUGGCCUGUUCUUGACGCUGAGGCGCGAAAGCUAGGGGAGCAAACGGG